RNAcentral lists this transfer RNA (17 nucleotides) under Kaloula kalingensis (Kalinga narrowmoouth toad). RNAcentral's name for it is "partial tRNA-Leu". The record is from RNAcentral. Lineage: Eukaryota; Metazoa; Chordata; Amphibia; Anura; Microhylidae.
UAAGCUCUUCGCUAACC